RNAcentral lists this long non-coding RNA (751 nucleotides) under Homo sapiens (human). RNAcentral's name for it is "HSALNT0392893". Lineage: Eukaryota; Metazoa; Chordata; Mammalia; Primates; Hominidae. The record is from RNAcentral.
AGUUCUAGGCAAAGAGCAAGGCCGUUGCGCUCGUCUGCCUCGGAAAGUGGCUCCUCAGUGCCCUCAGACAAGUAAGUGUCAACUGUGCAGCAGACCUCUCAGAUCCAGGCAGCAUGUCCCUGCUCACCACUAGGCCCAUCUCAGCAGUCCAGGUGGACAUCCCCUGGAGCCUCUGUCACUCCCCCUGGUCACGCCAGAGAUUGGAGAAGAUGAAGAUAUCAGAAGGUGUAAUGCUGGCAUUGUUCCAUAGCAACGGGCCUUAGGUACAUGGCAGAAAAAGAGAGAGAAAAAGUUGUUCCCUUCUCAUAGUGUCCCUACCUGGAGUUAGCUGUCAGCCAAAAGCACUUUAAUGUAUCACGUCCUGGUGGCUACACAGGUUACACAAUUGUCAAAACCCAUUGGGCUGCACACUUAAUACCUAUGCAUUUUGUUGUAUGUUCAUUAUCUCAACAUUUUUUUCAAUAAAAAAAUUAAACUAGAAAACAAUGCUUCAUCUGCUAAUUAGCACUGUAAGACUAGGUGUAGAUGUACAUGUACAUAAAUCUGUCUUUCCCGUGGUCUCUCUGGUAGGCAGGGACCUUGAGCCAGGAUUCCUUCCCUCCCUUCCCUCGAACCCCACUUUCUCCCCAUGGCUCCCUGACCCAUGCACAGCCACCUAGCAGGUCCUUCUGCCUCUGUGCUUGGCACUUUCCAUCCAUUGUCCUCACAGCUACCCCAGUGACCUUUGUAAAAUGCAGCUAUGUCAUAUUAU